RNAcentral lists this ribosomal RNA (435 nucleotides) under uncultured bacterium. Its description in RNAcentral is "bacterial SSU rRNA". It matches the Rfam family "Bacterial small subunit ribosomal RNA", at positions 30 to 504 of the family's 1533-position model. The record is from RNAcentral.
UGAACGCUGGCGGUAUGCUUUACACAUGCAAGUCGUACGGGAGUUUUUAACUCAAGUGGCGGACGGGUGAGUAACACGUAAGAAUUUACCUUUAGGAGGGGGACAACAACUGGAAACGGUUGCUAAUACCCCAUAUGCUUUCGAGUGAAAUGGAUUUUUCCGCCUAAAGAGAAGCUUGCGGCUGAUUAGCUUGUUGGUAGGGUAAUGGCUUACCAAGGCGACGAUCAGUAUCUGGUUUGAGAGGACGAUCAGACACACUGGAACUGAGACACGGUCCAGACUACUACGGGAGGCAGCAGUGGGGAAUUUUCCGCAAUGGGCGAAAGCCUGACGGAGCAAUACCGCGUGAGGGAAGACUGCCUAUGGGUUGUAAACCUCUUUUUUCAGGGAGGAAUAAAAUGACGUGUACCUGAAGAAUAAGCAUCGGCUAACUCC